AAAAAGGGUGUUUACCUGCUAAAUGGCACGCAGUCUCUCUGGGGCUGUGCAGAAUCGCUAGCAAGAGAUUCUGGACACAUAAUUUUUGGAAACGGGGGCUGCUGAUUGCCAUUGCAUUUGGCGCCUCU
Small nuclear RNA from Argiope bruennichi, 128 nucleotides. RefSeq annotates it as U11 spliceosomal RNA. The record is from RefSeq and is a predicted model, not a curated record. Lineage: Eukaryota; Metazoa; Arthropoda; Arachnida; Araneae; Araneidae. The transcript has a single exon.